UACGUAGGGUGCGAGCGUUAAUCGGAAUUACUGGGCGUAAAGCGUGCGUAGGCGGUCCGCGAAGUCUGAUGUGAAAGCCCCGGGCUCAACCUGGGAACUGCAUUGGAAACUAACGGGCUCGAGUGUGGCAGAGGGGGGUGGAAUUCCACGUGUAGCAGUGAAAUGCGUAGAGAUGUGGAGGAACACCGAUGGCGAAGGCAGCCCCCUGGGCUAACACUGACGCUCAGGCACGAAAGCGUGGGGAGCAGACAGG
RNAcentral lists this ribosomal RNA (253 nucleotides) under uncultured bacterium. Its description in RNAcentral is "partial 16S ribosomal RNA". It matches the Rfam family "Bacterial small subunit ribosomal RNA", at positions 524 to 776 of the family's 1533-position model. The record is from RNAcentral.